GGUGAGAUGGCCGAGUUGGUUAUGGCGCCAGGUUAAGGUCACCUUAAUAUGUUUCCUGGUGGAGCAAUCCUCAUGGGUUCGAAUCCCAUUCUCAUCA
This is a transfer RNA of 97 nucleotides. It matches the Rfam family "tRNA". Rfam says of the family: Transfer RNA (tRNA) molecules are approximately 80 nucleotides in length. Their secondary structure includes four short double-helical elements and three loops (D, anti-codon, and T loops). The record is from Rfam.